AUUGAACGCUGGCGGCAGGCUUAACACAUGCAAGUCGAGCGAGGCGCAGACGGGUGAGUAAUGUCUGGGACACCGCCUGAUGGGGGGGGAAAACUUGUGGAAACGGUAGCUAAUAGCGCAUACCAGCAGAAGUGCCCAGAUGGGAUUAGCGAGGAGGUGGGGUAAUGGCUCACCUAGACGACGAUCCCUAUCUGGUCUGAGAGGAUGACCAGCCACACUGGAACUGAGACACGGCCCAGACUCCUACGGGAGGCAGCAGUGGGGAAUAUUGCACAAUGGGCGCAAGCCUGAUGCAGCCAUGCCGCGUGUGUGAAGAAGGCCUUCGGGUUGUAAAGCACUUUCAGCGGGGAGGCGUUACUCGCAGAAGAAGCACCGGCUAACUCCGUGCCAGCAGCCGCGGUAAUUC
RNAcentral lists this ribosomal RNA (406 nucleotides) under uncultured bacterium. Its description in RNAcentral is "partial 16S ribosomal RNA". It matches the Rfam family "Bacterial small subunit ribosomal RNA", at positions 29 to 526 of the family's 1533-position model. The record is from RNAcentral.